This 322-nucleotide long non-coding RNA is filed under the name Mytilus galloprovincialis (Mediterranean mussel). Lineage: Eukaryota; Metazoa; Mollusca; Bivalvia; Mytilida; Mytilidae. The record is from RNAcentral.
GUGGGUACGAGAUAACUACAAUUCUCAUGCAUCCGAAAAGGGGUCAUCACAGACAAACAUGACACUAAAUCGUUAUCACUGAACUAUAUAUAUAUUGUAUAGGAGCCAGCUGAAGGACGCCUCCGGGUGCGGGAAUUUUUCGCUGCAUUGAAGACCUGUUGGUGACCUUAAUUCUGCUGUUGUAUGUUUUUCUAUGGUCGGGUUGUUGUCUCUUUGACAAAUUCCCCAUUUCCAUUCUCAAUUUUAUUAUACGAACAAGAACAAACAGCUCUACGUUGCUUUGAUAUUUAUCAAUUUUCAGGAAACAUUGCGAAACAUGAUC